UACGAGGGGGGCGAGCGUUGUUCGGAAUUAUUGGGCGUAAAGGGUGCGUAGGCGGUUUGGUAAGUCUUAUGUGAAAUCUACAGGCUCAACUUGUAGUCUGCAUGAGAAACUGCCGGGCUUGAGUAUGGGAGAGGUGAGUGGAAUUCCUGGUGUAGCAGUGAAAUGCGUAGAUAUCAGGAGGAACACCGAUGGCGAAGGCAGGUCUCUGGGCUGACACUGACGCUCAUGCACGAAAGCGUGGGGAGCAAACAGG
RNAcentral lists this ribosomal RNA (253 nucleotides) under uncultured bacterium. RNAcentral's name for it is "partial 16S ribosomal RNA". It matches the Rfam family "Bacterial small subunit ribosomal RNA", at positions 524 to 776 of the family's 1533-position model. The record is from RNAcentral.